UCACUUUCUAUUUCUAUUAAAUAGUAUGGCCUUAGACUAUAGAAAAUUUGUCAUAGGAUUGUGAAUCUAGUGACAUAAUUUGCUUAGAUGUCAGUGGGUAUUUGAGCUUUAAUAAUUUUAUUAGCUUAAGACAUUCUGAUAAUAAGUGUCUCCAAAUAUGUACCCAUUAAAAUUCUUUUCUCAUGCAGCUAAGGUGUUGAUAAGAGAAUUUGCUCUUAAGUCUUUGGUGACUGAAUGACUUCUUGGUGAUGCAAGGACAAUUUUCGGUAAUCCAGCAGCCAAGGUGACAGUCCAGAUAAGGUGGGUAGGCUAGUUGAUCUUUCAAGUCUAAGGCAAGAAAAAAUUUCAGCUUCUCUGAUGGAAAUGGCUCUGGACCAGAAUUCAGAAGACCUCGGUGAAGCCAAAGCUUUCUUGGCCACUUACAAACUACUUGUAUGUUUUCCAGCAAUAAAUUAUCUUGCCUGGAGCCAACAAUGUGUUUCCAUACCUAUUAACUGGGGGAGUUAAUAACAGCAACACAAUCCAUCCACAGAGUUAUUUUGGAGAAAGUGAGCGCACAAUCUCCCACGACCACAAAUGAUACAGUUGCUUUUCCCACAUCUGGGGAAAUGAUAGGGGUCAGCACAUCUGGAGUUCAGUGGAUAAGCCUGGCCUUGGGAAACCACCUUCACGAUCAUGGGAUCUCCCCUCCCAGAAAUCAUCAGUAUGUGCACAAGAAAGGAAAAAAGAAGAGUCAGAGAGGAUGCCAUAUGUUCAAGCCAUUAGAAGAAAUAAGGAAUUCAGGAAGAGAAGAUUUGUAGUUUAAUGACAGAGUUUCACACGCAGGCCUUCCACAGUUUAGAUAUUGGAAGGUGGGGACUCCUAUGAUUGACAUUCCCAUUGAAUUACCCCUCAAUGCCCAGCAAAGUAGCCCUGUAUAUAGACAAUGACAAAUGUAUUGAAAUCUACGCGCAGUAAGGAUAAAUUCAGGAUCUGGUCUGGAGUGGGUUAAACAGUGACACCCCUUCCCUCCCUGGAAAGAUAUGUGCAUCUAAAACUUGUAAAUGUGACCUUAUUAGAAAAAAGAGUCUUUGCAGUAGUGAUCUUUCUAGAUUAGGUUGGGCCCUAAAUCCAAUGACACAUCCUAUAUAAUAAAAGCCUGAUAUACUAAGUGUCAGACCGUUUGUUCGACCGUUCAACCAGUCGCU
This is a long non-coding RNA of Myotis brandtii (Brandt's bat), 1187 nucleotides long. RefSeq lists it as uncharacterized. The transcript has 3 exons. Lineage: Eukaryota; Metazoa; Chordata; Mammalia; Chiroptera; Vespertilionidae. The record is from RefSeq and is a predicted model, not a curated record.